Molecule: non-coding RNA, 73 nt
Organism: Phrynosoma platyrhinos (Desert horned lizard)
Lineage: Eukaryota; Metazoa; Chordata; Lepidosauria; Squamata; Phrynosomatidae
Source: the annotation of a GenBank genome assembly
GAUCGUGUGGACAUAGUGGUUCGAGCAUUGGACUAUGACUCUGGAGACCAGGGUUCGAAUCCUGGCUCAGCCA